RNAcentral lists this long non-coding RNA (445 nucleotides) under Mytilus galloprovincialis (Mediterranean mussel). Lineage: Eukaryota; Metazoa; Mollusca; Bivalvia; Mytilida; Mytilidae. The record is from RNAcentral.
GAUUUUUAUUGUGUUAUACAUAUUAGUUAUAAUAAUGUGUAUACAGCAGCCUCUAUUUAUCUCGGAAAAUGUUAAAUAUAUGCAUAUGUUUAUUUUCUUUUUUUUUCAUGUACCUCUUCUGACAUCGGACUCGGUAUUCUCUCAAUCUGAAUUUAAUGUUCGUAUUGUUAUGCGUUUUCUUUUCUACAUUUGCUAGAGGUAUAGGGAGGGUUGAGAUCUCAAAAAACAUGUUUAACCCCGUCGCAUUUUUGCGCUGUCCCAAGUCAGGACAUUCUGGCCUUUGUUAGUCUUGUAUGAUUUUUUUUUAGUUUCUUGUGUAAAAUACGGAGUUUAGUAUGGCGUCCAUUAUCCCUGUACUAGUAUAGAUAUUUGUUUAGGGACCAGCUUAAGGACGCCUCGAGAGCGGGAGUUUCUCGAUGUAUUGAGACUAUUGGUGACCUUCUGC